UCAAAUAUCCAAUGCCGUUAAUGUAACAAUUCGCAUCUGACUUUUUCAAGUUGUAAGUAAUGAAUUUAUUCUGUUGAAUAUUAAUUGUCCAUAUAAUUGUACGCACCUAUACGUAUUUAAUGUAUGUAUUAUUAUACUGUUUUCUGUGUUCCAAUCCCUGUUUUGUAAAGCGUUUAAAUUAGGGCCAUAACGAUAAUAUACCUAUACUAUACACACGCGAUUUAGGUACCGGCUGCCUUUGAUUUUCCGCGGUUAGGUCGUGUUUUUUGUUUUUAUUUUCUUAAAAACAUUAAUAAAUCGUAAUAAUAGUAUUUACUUAAUACGUUUCACGCGAAUGGCCGUAUAUUAAAAUGCCGACCUAAUCCCGCGCAAAAGGAUCGUUUGCAUAAAAUUAUCGUAUUUCAAACCUCCACA
Molecule: non-coding RNA, 414 nt
Organism: Cinara cedri
Lineage: Eukaryota; Metazoa; Arthropoda; Insecta; Hemiptera; Aphididae
Source: the annotation of a GenBank genome assembly